This 270-nucleotide long non-coding RNA is filed under the name Hordeum vulgare. RNAcentral describes it as "long non-coding RNA (HVUL_LNC010177)". The record is from RNAcentral. Lineage: Eukaryota; Viridiplantae; Streptophyta; Magnoliopsida; Poales; Poaceae.
UGUUAUGUAUUUUUUCUGUAAAGAAAAGUAAAAAGUAUUUUGAGAAUAAAAUAGCUUUCUCAGAAAAGGAAUAGUUCAUGAAUUUUAUAAAAGCAUUAAUAAAGUUCAUGAAUUUUAUUUUUUAAAUAUCAGAAUUAUCUUCUGUUAAGUUAUGAGGCAGAUGAAAUUUUGUUUCACGUUUUCCGCUGCUAUAAGCAAUAUGGAAUAUGAUCAUGUUGUUAUUCUGACCGACGUUGAUUAAUCACACGGUCAUAUUGCAUAUUGCAAAAU